GCAGUCGUGGCCGAGUGGUUAAGGCGAUGGACUUGAAAUCCAUUGGGGUUUCCCCGCCGCGUAGGUUCGAAUCCUACCGGCUGCG
Nephila pilipes (giant wood spider) is the source of this 85-nucleotide non-coding RNA. NCBI's taxonomy places the organism in Eukaryota, Metazoa, Arthropoda, Arachnida, Araneae, Nephilidae. The record is from the annotation of a GenBank genome assembly.